Athene cunicularia (burrowing owl) is the source of this 344-nucleotide long non-coding RNA. RefSeq lists it as uncharacterized. NCBI's taxonomy places the organism in Eukaryota, Metazoa, Chordata, Aves, Strigiformes, Strigidae. The transcript is spliced from 3 exons. The record is from RefSeq and is a predicted model, not a curated record.
CUCAAAGAAAACUUCAUGCAAAAUGCUUUAAUACGGAAUUUAGUAGCUUAAAAUGCUGUUGUAGUACGUUUCUAGCUUUUUUAUAUCAAGCUUAGCUCAACUGAUCUUGCUUCUAAAUGCAUCGUAUAGUUCAAGAAUUUAACAUUGACUGAACUACUUUCUUUUCUAAGAAAAUGAAUAUGCAGAAUAAAAGGAUUCAAGUACUAAUGGACAUCGUGGAGCAAAAGAUGAUGUUACCAUGAGACUGCAAGAUUUGAUAUCCUGUUCAGAAGAAACCAUAAAAGACUAUGUAAGUCUUAGACAUCUUAAUUUUGUUUACAAGAAAACCUGAAUCUGUGCUUAUA